This is a long non-coding RNA of Oncorhynchus keta (chum salmon), 629 nucleotides long. RefSeq lists it as uncharacterized. The record is from RefSeq and is a predicted model, not a curated record. The transcript is spliced from 5 exons. Lineage: Eukaryota; Metazoa; Chordata; Actinopteri; Salmoniformes; Salmonidae.
AUGAGAAGACUUCAGGAACAAGAGAUUAUUAUAUUAGGUAGGAUGAGAAGACUUCAGAAACAAGAGACAUUAUUAUAUUAGGUAGGAUGAGAAGACUUCAGAAACAAGAGACAUUAUUAUAUUAGGUAGGAUGAGAAGACUUCAGAAACAAGAGACAUUAUUAUAUUAGGUAGGAUGAGAAGACUUCAGAAACAAGAGACAUUAUUAUAUUAGGUAGGAUGAGAAGACUUCAGAAACAAGAGACAUUAUUAUAUUAGGUAGGAUGAGAAGACUUCAGAAACAAGAGACAUUAUUAUAUUAGGUAGGAUGAGAAGACUUCAGAAACACGAGACAUUAUUAUAUUAGGUAGGAUGAGAAGACUUCAGAAACAAGAGACAUUAUUAUAUUAGGUAGGAUGAGAAGACUUCAGGAACAAGAUACAUUAUUAUAUUAGGUAGGAUGAGAAGAAGAGACAUUAUAUUAGGUAGGAUGAGAAGAAGAGACAUUAUUAUAUUAGGUAGGAUGAGAAGACUUCAGAAACAAGAGACAUUAUUAUAUUAGGUAGGAUGAGAAGAAGAGACAUUAUUAUAUUAGGUAGGAUGAGAAGACUUCAGAAACAAGAGACAUUAUUAUAUUAGGUAGGAUGAGAA